Molecule: unclassified non-coding RNA, 309 nt
Rfam family: Metazoan signal recognition particle RNA
About the family: The signal recognition particle (SRP) is a universally conserved ribonucleoprotein. It is involved in the co-translational targeting of proteins to membranes.
Source: Ensembl
GCCUGGUGCAGUGGUGCACGCCUGUAGUCCCAGCUACUUGGGAGGCUGAGACAGGAAGAUCGCUUGAGUCCAGGAGUUCUGGGCUGUAGUGCCCUAUGCAGAUCAGUUGUCUGCUCUAAGUUCGGCAUCAAUCUGGUGACCUCCCGGAGCUGGGGUUCACCAGGUUGCCUAAGGAGGGGCGAACCGGCCCAGGUCGGAAACGGAGCAGGUCAAAGCUCCGUGCUGGUCAGUAAAAAUGGUUUACCUUUAGGUUUAAUAUGUGCCAUCAUUUCUCUUUAGCAUGGCAAGCACACAGCUCUCAAUGCUUGU